Xylariaceae sp. AK1471 is the source of this 101-nucleotide non-coding RNA. The record is from the annotation of a GenBank genome assembly. Lineage: Eukaryota; Fungi; Ascomycota; Sordariomycetes; Xylariales; Xylariaceae.
GGCCUCGUGGCCCAAUGGCAAGGCGUCUGACUACGAGAGAACCCAACAAAGGGUCUUUCAUAGAAAUCAGGAGAUUCUGGGUUCGACCCCCAGCGAGGUCA